This 563-nucleotide ribosomal RNA is filed under the name uncultured bacterium. RNAcentral's name for it is "bacterial SSU rRNA". It matches the Rfam family "Bacterial small subunit ribosomal RNA", at positions 52 to 610 of the family's 1533-position model. The record is from RNAcentral.
CACAUGCAAGUCGAGCGGAUGAAGGGAGCUUGCUCCCUGAUUUAGCGGCGGACGGGUGAGUAAUGCCUAGGAAUCUGCCUGGUAGUGGGGGAUAACGUUCCGAAAGGAACGCUAAUACCGCGUACGUCCUACGGGAGAAAGCAGGGGACCUUCGGGCCUUGCGCUAUCAGAUGAGCCUAGGUCGGAUUAGCUAGUUGGUGAGGUAAUGGCUCACCAAGGCGACGAUCCGUAACUGGUCUGAGAGGAUGAUCAGUCACACUGGAACUGAGACACGGUCCAGACUCCUACGGGAGGCAGCAGUGGGGAAUAUUGGACAAUGGGCGAAAGCCUGAUCCAGCCAUGCCGCGUGUGUGAAGAAGGUCUUCGGAUUGUAAAGCACUUUAAGUUGGGAGGAAGGGCUGCUGGUUAAUACCCUGCAGUUUUGACGUUACCAACAGAAUAAGCACCGGCUAACUUCNUGCCAGCAGCCGCGGUAAUACGAAGGGUGCAAGCGUUAAUCGGAAUUACUGGGCGUAAAGCGCGCGUAGGUGGUUCGUUAAGUUGGAUGUGAAAGCCCCGGGCUC